AGAUAUGAUAGAGGCGCGGGCUUUAUCAGUACCAUUUGGGCAAAGGAACAGGACAGCCGUCCAUAUGGGAAAGGAAAGACCGCCGAAGAAUUGUUUCCCGGUCCGGGGAAGCUUUUCUGGGGCGUAGCAGAAUAUGCUGCGGACUGUCACAAGGAUGUGGAGCGCUAUCUGUAAU
Non-coding RNA from Clostridium sp. KLE 1755, 175 nucleotides. The record is from Rfam. Lineage: Bacteria; Bacillati; Bacillota; Clostridia; Eubacteriales; Clostridiaceae.